AUACGUAGGUGGCAAGCGUUGUCCGGAUUUAUUGGGCGUAAAGCGAGCGCAGGCGGUUUUUUAGGUCUGAUGUGAAAGCCUUCGGCUUAACCGGAGAAGUGCAUCGGAAACCGGGAGACUUGAGUGCAGAAGAGGACAGUGGAACUCCAUGUGUAGCGGUGAAAUGCGUAGAUAUAUGGAAGAACACCAGUGGCGAAGGCGGCUGUCUGGUCUGUAACUGACGCUGAGGCUCGAAAGCAUGGGUAGCGAACAGGAUUAGGUACCCUGGUAGUCCACGCUGUAAACGAUGAAUACUAAGUGUUGGGGGGUUUCCGCCCCUCAGUGCUGCAGCUAACGCAUUAAGUAUUCCGCCUGGGGAGUACGACCGCAAGGUUGAA
This 377-nucleotide ribosomal RNA is filed under the name uncultured bacterium. Its description in RNAcentral is "bacterial SSU rRNA". It matches the Rfam family "Bacterial small subunit ribosomal RNA", at positions 523 to 898 of the family's 1533-position model. The record is from RNAcentral.